AGAUUGAGAUAAUUUUAAGGUAAAUUGACGUAAGCAUCACUGAAUUCGAACGUCAGUUAAUUAUUCUAUCAUUUGAGACCCAUAAGUUUGGAAAACGACUAUUUGAAGAAUCACGAAUAAUUAAGCCCAGAACUUUUGAAAAUCCCUACAUGCCUUGUAUUUACAAAAUCACUCAACCACUGAAUGGCAGUAUUAUAGAUUAACAAAAUAAAUAAAUGGUUUGAACAAAUGAACUUCUAUCAAUUUAAACAUUUGUAAUUUACAUGAACAGUCACCUAAGCAAAUACACUGUCAAUUAUGGAAUACAUCAUCUUAUGCUUAAAAUUACAACAUCCAUCCUCCAUUAAAGAAUACAUGUUUGGUUAACCUUCACUAUGAUCACAACUCUAACUGAUGCUUAAUGAAUAACAAACCCAAACAACAAAGAGCCGGCAGAGAUGAAACUUCACUCAAGCCUUAAAUGGCAAAUCAAACCAACCUGUGACCAGAUCCACCAUUAUUGACCUUCAAAUCCAGGAUUAGACUUUAAUUUAUUAGAAUACAAAAGCAAGUUCAGAUUUCAGUAGUUAACACUCAAAUAUAGGCAGCAUGUAUUUGAUAAUGAGAUAUGUAGGUUGAGAUCCAACUAAAUAUGUGAAAUCAGCUACAAUUCUAGUCACGAAAUUGCAAUGGAGACCAUUUGUCCUUAACAUGCAAAUCCAUAAUAGGUUUUAAGUCUUAAACACAUCAAAAAUAACAUCCAUUCAUGUUCAAAAUAGAACAAACAACCAGUUUAUAUAAUCACAACAAAUAACUUUAAAGAAUAACCAACAUUUCAUUGCAAAUCAAAACAGAUGUACAUGUGUGAGAUGUGUACCUAAACUCGUAAACAAGCUGAACUUUUGCCAAAUAAAGGCUAAGAAAACCAACACGAGAUGAAUUCAGCAAGAACAAUAGCAGGAAACAGAAGAACAACCUCAAGUCUUAGCUAAACAGCAGGGUGACAACAACAGAUUUUUCAACAACUCUAUGCAAUUUUGAAGAAAACAGAAGUUGAAUAGCAAAUCAAAACAGAGAAAACAGCUUGUGAAAACCUUGAUGGAAUUUUCAGAGUGUUAUCUUUUAGAAAUCAGUGUAAAAAAUGAAGAAAAAGAGUCUGAAUCAGAGAGUAAAUGUCCAAAAUGAAUAUGCAGGGGUGCUUUAUAUAGGGAAUAUGUAUGCCCUAUGAGAGAAUGAGAGAGGGUGUGAGAGUAUUCUGCCAGCUCCCUAAAAAUCAGGAAUUGUCAUCUUUUUCAACUAAAUUGGACAGCUGUCCUUUUCAGAUAUUUUUUCUUAUUUUCAGCAUCUUUUCUUAACCAAUUUGGACAACUGUCCAUCAUCUAUUCUUUUCCUAUUUUUCUCAGCCCCUUAACUUCUGAAAUUAACCCCUUUUGACCUUUAAUUUACUGCAUUUUAACCCCUUCCCAAACUCUUCUAGAACUUUCCAUCAGCUAAAAGAAAGAUUCCCUAAUUUUCUAUCACAUUCACCCCACUAAAGUUCCAAUUAAUACCAACUAGUGCCUUUACCUCAACCUACUGUCCUCUUUUAUCCCACAUAAUCAAUAUUUACUAAACAAAAACUAAUUAAUCUAAAUUGAAAUUAAGCUAUCAAGUACAAAUUAAUCACAAUCAGCAAACUAGUUGACCUAUCAAUUAAGCACAUGCGUAAUUAAAACCAUAACCUAAUUAAUCGAUUGAACUUCAAGUAGAACUAAAUCAAAUAAUUAUUCAGAAAGUUAAAACAUUUUCAAUUAUUAACCUAAGUAUGUUGACAUUCAAACAGGUGAUUACUAACAAAAUGCAAGCCUACGAUUAUUUAGCUAAUUUAUGAGCGAAACUGAUUCAAUUAAACUAGGUCAAACAAACCACACAAUUAAAAAAAAAUCUUCUGCUUUCAAGAAACAAAAUCAACAAAAGAAUAAGAUAAAAAGGGUGAGAGAGUACCUAUGGAAGGAAAGACGAUUCAAUUGAAGCGAUUUCAACGAGGUUCGACCGGAUUCUGAUGGUUCCGAAAUGAGAUAAAACUUACAUUAAUCAAUUGCUCUUGACUAGAGCAAUUGAUCAAUGUCAGUUUCAAGUCAAAAGAGUUGAGAAUCAAUGAAGAAAUCCAAAGGGAAUGAAGCUAGGUUUUCUGACCGUUUUUUAGAUCUAAAAUUUGUGAAGUUUGGGUGGUUUUUUGGGAAAAUUGAUGGGAUAUUAGGGAUUAGGAGGAUGUGAGGACUGUGGGGUGUGAAUUCGAGGGAGAUUGGGGUUGUUUGAAGUGGCGUCGCCGGCAAAGGGUCUUGGGACGGCUAGGGUUUGAGUGAGAGAGAUGAGAGGGAAUGAAAAUGGGGUCUCUAA
RNAcentral lists this long non-coding RNA (2358 nucleotides) under Nicotiana tabacum (common tobacco). RNAcentral's name for it is "long non-coding RNA (NTAB_LNC015475)". Lineage: Eukaryota; Viridiplantae; Streptophyta; Magnoliopsida; Solanales; Solanaceae. The record is from RNAcentral.